AUUGAACGCUGGCGGCAUGCCUUACACAUGCAAGUCGAACGGCAGCACGGACUUCGGUCUGGUGGCGAGUGGCUAACGGGUGAGUAAUGUAUCGGAACGUACCUUUCAGUGGGGGAUAACGUAGCGAAAGUUACGCUAAUACCGCAUAUUCUGUGAGCAGGAAAGCAGGGGAUCGCAAGACCUUGCGCUGAUUGAGCGUCCGAUAUCAGAUUAGCUAGUUGGUGGGGUAAAGGCCUACCAAGGCUACGAUCUGUAGCGGGUCUGAGAGGAUGAUCCGCCACACUGGAACUGAGACACGGUCCAGACUCCUACGGGAGGCAGCAGUGGGGAAUUUUGGACAAUGGGGGCAACCCUGAUCCAGCCAUGCCGCGUGAGUGAAGAAGGCCUUCGGGUUGUAAAGCUCUUUCGGCCGGGAAGAAAUCGCAUAGGUUAAUACCCUGUGUGGAUGACGGUGCCGGAAUAAGAAGCACCGGCUAACUACGUGCCAGCAGCCGCGGUAAUACGUAGGGUGCGAGCGUUAAUCGGAAUUACUGGGCGUAAAGCGUGCGCAGGCGGCUCUUUAAGACAGAUGUGAAAUCCCCGGGCUCAACCUGGGAACUGCGUUUGUGACUGUAGGGCUCGAGUGCGGCAGAGGGGGGUGGAAUUCCACGUGUAGCAGUGAAAUGCGUAGAGAUGUGGAGGAACACCGAUGGCGAAGGCAGCCCCCUGGGUCGACACUGACGCUCAUGCACGAAAGCGUGGGUAGCAAACAGGAUUAGAUACCCUGGUAGUCCACGCCCUAAACGAUGCCAACUAGGUGUUGGGGAAG
This 808-nucleotide ribosomal RNA is filed under the name uncultured Dechloromonas sp. RNAcentral's name for it is "bacterial SSU rRNA". It matches the Rfam family "Bacterial small subunit ribosomal RNA", at positions 28 to 831 of the family's 1533-position model. The record is from RNAcentral. Lineage: Bacteria; Pseudomonadati; Pseudomonadota; Betaproteobacteria; Rhodocyclales; Azonexaceae.